AGGUGGAAUUGACCGGUUUUGGAUAAUAAUUGAUUUGAUGUGGAAGAAUGAAGAAGAGAGAGGUGUCAAGUAUAACUCCAUGGUAUCUGGUCUUCUGUGUGGAUAGAUGGUGGUACUAGUAUCUCAGUAAACUAGAAAUUCUGAAAGAGGAACAUGUUUGGAAGGAGAAAAGAAUAAGCUCAGUUUUGGAUAUGUUAAGUUUGAGUCAUUUGUUUGCCAUACAAAAGGAAGACCAGGUCUGGAGCUCAGAAAAGAGGCCUAAAUUGGAUAGGUCGAUUUGAACUUUAUCAGCUUUCUAGGUGGUAACCAAAGCCCAUUGAAUGAGAUCACCUACACUGAGAUUGUGAAGUGAAAAGAGAAAAGGGCCCAAGGACCAAGCUAUGAGGAGCUUACAGAAGAGGAAGAACUCCCAAAAGAGAGUGAGAAGGACCUACCAGAAUGCUCUGUGAGGUAGGUGCUGCCACAUGAUAAACACGUUCACAGAGGAACUGAUUUACUGGAAGUCACACAGCAAGUUAAUAGCAGAAUUGGGAUGCCAAUUCUUCAGAUUCCAAGUCCAGUGCCUUUUCCACACCACCAUAGGAAACAGAUAUGGAAUCGGAGCUAUUGAGGGAUGAAGGGAUCUUCCCAAAGUCACGCAGCUAGUGAGGGGCUGAGCAAGAAUUCAAAUCCACACAGUCUGUUUUCAGAGUCUUUGGUCUUCACCACUAUGCUACUUUGGUGAGAAUGGUUAUUGAUUAUUUUUCAUCGACACAGCUCAGCCUCCUGGAAUUAAAGCGUGAAGAGUGAAUCUGGAGGGACAAACUGAAGAUAUCCAGCCAAGAUACAUUGCUUAGUUUUGCCUAAGUUUACAAAAGUGGAAUCAUACGCUCUGGAGGCUGGAAGUCCAAAAUCAAGAUGUUGGCAGAGUUGGUUCCUUCUAAAGACUUUGAAGAAGAAUCUGUUUCAUGCCUGUCUCCUAGCUUCUGGUGGUUGCCAGCAAUCCUUUAUAUUCCUUGGCUUGUAGUUGCAUCACUCCAAUCUCUGCCUCCAUCAUCACCUAGCCUUCUUCCCUGCAUCUCUUCUGUAUCCGUGUCCCAAUCUCCCUCUACUUUCUCUUAUAAAGACACCAGUCUCCGCACCUUAAUCCAGGAUAGCCUCAUCCUAACUUGAUUACAUCUGCGAAGACCCUGUUUCCAAAUAGGCUCACAUUCACAGGUACU
Molecule: long non-coding RNA, 1202 nt
Filed under: Equus asinus (donkey)
Lineage: Eukaryota; Metazoa; Chordata; Mammalia; Perissodactyla; Equidae
Description: lncRNA (ENSEASG00005024867.1)
Source: RNAcentral